This 497-nucleotide ribosomal RNA is filed under the name uncultured bacterium. RNAcentral describes it as "partial 16S ribosomal RNA". It matches the Rfam family "Bacterial small subunit ribosomal RNA", at positions 28 to 507 of the family's 1533-position model. The record is from RNAcentral.
GAUGAACGCUGGCGGCGUGCCUAAUACAUGCAAGUCGAGCGAACAGACGAGGAGCUUGCUCCUCUGACGUUAGCGGCGGACGGGUGAGUAACACGUGGAUAACCUACCUAUAAGACUGGGAUAACUUCGGGAAACCGGAGCUAAUACCGGAUAAUAUAUUGAACCGCAUGGUUCAAUAGUGAAAGACGGUUUUGCUGUCACUUAUAGAUGGAUCCGCGCCGGAUUAUCUAGUUGGUACGGUAACGGCUUACCAAGGCAACGAUGCGUAGCCGACCUGAGAGGGUGAUCGGUCACACGGGAACUGAGACACGGUCCAGACUCCUAAGGGAGUCAGCAGUAGGCAAUCUUCCGCAAUGGGCGUAAGCUGGACGGUGCAACGCCGCGUGAGUUAUGAAGGUCUUCGGUUCGUAAAACUCUGUUAUUAUGGAAGAACAAAUGUGUCAGUAACUAUGCACGUCUUGACGGUACCUAAACAGAAAGCCACGGCUAACUACGUG